Molecule: ribosomal RNA, 119 nt
Organism: Fukomys damarensis (Damara mole-rat)
Lineage: Eukaryota; Metazoa; Chordata; Mammalia; Rodentia; Bathyergidae
Source: Ensembl
GUCUACGACUAUACCACCCUGAACGUGCCUGAUCUCAUCUGAUUUCAGAAGCUAAGCAGGGUCGGGCCUGGUUAGUACAUGGAAAGGAGACAGCCUGAGAAUACGGGGUGCUGUAGGCU